This 400-nucleotide ribosomal RNA is filed under the name uncultured bacterium. Its description in RNAcentral is "bacterial SSU rRNA". It matches the Rfam family "Bacterial small subunit ribosomal RNA", at positions 975 to 1375 of the family's 1533-position model. The record is from RNAcentral.
CAGCCCUUGACAUGGCAGGACGGUUCCCGGAGACGGGUUCCUUCUCGCAAGAGACUUGCACACAGGUGCUGCAUGGCUGUCGUCAGCUCGUGUCGUGAGAUGUUGGGUUAAGUCCCGCAACGAGCGCAACCCUCGCCCUUAGUUGCCAUCAUUUAGUUGGGCACUCUAAGGGGACUGCCGGUGAUAAGCCGGAGGAAGGUGGGGAUGACGUCAAGUCCUCAUGGCCCUUACGGGCUGGGCUACACACGUGCUACAAUGGCGGUGACAGUGGGAUGCAAUGGAGUAAUCCUGCGCAAAUCUCAAAAAGCCGUCUCAGUUCGGAUUGUGCUCUGCAACUCGAGCACAUGAAGUUGGAAUCGCUAGUAAUCGCAGAUCAGCACGCUGCGGUGAAUACGUUCCC